This 278-nucleotide ribosomal RNA is filed under the name uncultured bacterium. RNAcentral describes it as "partial 16S ribosomal RNA". It matches the Rfam family "Bacterial small subunit ribosomal RNA", at positions 30 to 314 of the family's 1533-position model. The record is from RNAcentral.
CCUGAACGCUGGCGGCGUGGCUAAGACAUGCAAGUCGCACGGGGCCCGCAAGGGUCCAGUGGCGAACGGGUGAGUAAUGAAUCGCUAAUGUGCCCCGGACUCUGGGAUAGCCAUCCGAAAGGAUGGGUAAUACCAGAUGAUAUAACCUGCCCGCAUGGGCGGGUUCUCAAAGGUCCGCCGGUCCGGGAGCAGGCGAUUUCGUAUCAGCUAGUUGGUGCGGGUAACGGCCCACCAAGGCGACGACGCGUAGCCGGACUGAGAGGUUGGCCGGCCACAUU